Rhea pennata is the source of this 723-nucleotide long non-coding RNA. RefSeq lists it as uncharacterized. The transcript is spliced from 3 exons. The record is from RefSeq and is a predicted model, not a curated record. Lineage: Eukaryota; Metazoa; Chordata; Aves; Rheiformes; Rheidae.
AAGGCACUUCAACUGCCAGUCCUUAGCAAACCAGCGGGAGAUUCUUUGAGGUGAAAUGCAUGCAGAAUGCAGCAGAAUCACAGAAUGGUUGAGGUUGGAAGGCACGUCAUCUAGUCCAACUCGCCUACUCAAGCAGGUCACCCAGAGCAUGUUGCACAGGAUCACAUCCAGGGCAUUGAUGAAGAAGCUGAACAAGACUGGACGCAGAACUGAGCCCUGAGGGACACCACUAGCUACAGGCCUCCAGCUAGACUGUGUGCUGCUGCUGACAACCCUCUGAGCUCUGUUUUUCAGCCAGUUCUCAUUCCAUCUCACAGUCCACUCAUCUAGCCCACUCUUCCUGAGCUUGCCUAGGAGGAUGUUAUGGGAGACAGUGUCCAAAGCCUUGCUGAAGUCAAGGUAGACAACAUCCACUGCUCUCCCCUCGUCUCCCCAGCCAGCCAUUCCAUCACAGAAGGCUAUCAGGUUAAGCAUGAUUUCCCCUUGAUGAAUCCAUGCUGGCUACUCCUGAUAACGUUCUUUUCCUCCAUAUGCUUAGACAUGACAUCCAGGAUGAGCUGUUCCAUCACCUUUUCAGGGAUGGAGGUGAGGCUGACUGACCUGUAGUUGCCUGGAUCCUCCUUCUUGCCCUUUUUGAAAAUUUUGGAAAUUUUAAUCUGGAUUUUCUUUCCCCUGCUAAUUAUUCACUCCACAAUUAUCAUACACUUAGAGUUUAAUGCUGUA